GAUGAACGCUAGCUACAGGCUUAACACAUGCAAGUCGAGGGGUAACGAGAGGAAAGCUUGCUUUCCUUGUCGACGACCGGCGCACGGGUGAGUAACGCGUAUCCAACCUGCCCCCAACUAGGGAAUAACCUUGCGAAAGUAAGACUAAUACCCUAUAAUUUCCUCAGAUGUCAUCUGACGAGGAAUAAAGAUUUAUCGGUUGUGGAUGGGGAUGCGUCUGAUUAGCUUGUUGGCGGGGUAACGGCCCACCAAGGCAACAAUCAGUAGGGGUUUUGAGAGGAAGGUCCCCCACAGUGGAACUGAGACACGGUCCUAACUCCUACGGGAGGCAGCAGUGAGGAAUAUUGGUCAAUGGGCGGAAGCCUGAACCAGCCAAGUAGCGUGCAGGAUGACGGCCCUAUGGGUUGUAAACUGCUUUUAUACAGGAAUAAAGUUAGCCACGUGUGGUUAUUUGUAGGUACUGUAUGAAUAAGGACCGGCUAAUUCCGUGCCAGCAGCCGCGGUAA
Molecule: ribosomal RNA, 506 nt
Filed under: uncultured bacterium
Lineage: Bacteria
Description: partial 16S ribosomal RNA
Rfam family: Bacterial small subunit ribosomal RNA
Source: RNAcentral